Molecule: long non-coding RNA, 283 nt
Filed under: Gossypium barbadense (sea-island cotton)
Lineage: Eukaryota; Viridiplantae; Streptophyta; Magnoliopsida; Malvales; Malvaceae
Description: long non-coding RNA (GBAR_LNC018541)
Source: RNAcentral
UUCAUCCUAUGGUACACUUUAUACAUUUUCAUUUAGGUUAUUGCCUCCACUCUAUUAUACACAUUAACUAAUUGAACUAACUAGUCCACAAUUAAGAAUAACAAAUUAUCUAGUAUCAUUCAAAAUUUACAAGUUUGGCAAUUCAAUAUACUUAUUCAAUAUGUACAAAUAAUUACUUGUUGCCUAAUUAUAGUCAAGCACCAUGCAAUUACACAAAACAAAACAAAGAACAAAAAUAUAUUUUUGGAAUUUUUGAAUUUUUUUUGAAAAUGGCAUAAAAAUU